AAUGGGCGCAAGCCUGAUCCAGCCAUGCCGCGUGAGUGAUGAAGGCCCUAGGGUCGUAAAGCUCUUUCGCCAGGGAUGAUAAUGACGGUACCUGGUAAGGAAACCCCGGCUAACUCCGUGCCAGCAGCCGCGGUAAUACGGAGGGGGUUAGCGUUGUUCGGAAUUACUGGGCGUAAAGCGCGCGUAGGCGGAUUAGUCAGUUAGAGGUGAAAUCCCGGGGCUCAACCCCGGAACUGCCUUUAAUACUGCUAGUCUUGAGUUCGAGAGAGGUGAGUGGAAUUCCGAGUGUAGAGGUGAAAUUCGUAGAUAUUCGGAGGAACACCAGUGGCGAAGGCGGCUCACUGGCUCGAUACCGACGCUGAGGUGCGAAAGUGUGGGGAGCAAACAGGAUU
This 392-nucleotide ribosomal RNA is filed under the name uncultured Gammaproteobacteria bacterium. Its description in RNAcentral is "bacterial SSU rRNA". It matches the Rfam family "Bacterial small subunit ribosomal RNA", at positions 370 to 779 of the family's 1533-position model. The record is from RNAcentral. Lineage: Bacteria; Pseudomonadati; Pseudomonadota; Gammaproteobacteria.